GCACUAUAGACAUAAAGAGAAAACACUUGCUGAGUCAGCAUUACAGACAUAAGAUCAUUUUUCAUCUAUUUAUUAACAGACAAACUGCUUGUGGAAAUAAAAUCGUCUACCAUUUAACCCUCUGUGUAUGGAGAGACUAAGUGUACCAAACUAAAUGGAACUUGUACUAAAAAGACAACAGACAAAAAUGACGGACAUAAUAAAUACCCCUGAGAUUCUGUGAAGCUCCUCUCCACUUGAUAGCCAUUUUGAUUGGAAUCUGCACAUUGCUGCCUUUCAAAAUCAAAUUCAGAGAUAUGCUCUAGACCAUGCUGGUUGUUAAGCAAGAUGGGAACAAGGCAAGAUCUGGAUAGUGAGGUAGCCAUGACAUCAACCCUGAAAGAAAACAAGCCAAACAGAAAAUGACCCAAGCAAGUGCCAUUUUUUUACCAGUGCUAUAUAAGGGUGGGAAAGUUUUUUUCAGAAUAGGGCCAGAUAGCCAUAAGAAGCUAACAAUAGUUACAUGCUAAUCAUUUUGAUUUUUAAUUCACUCCAUGACUUCAUGCAGGGGUGGCCUGGCAUUACCAUAUGAUUCAGCCCACAUAUUGCUUGCCAUGUGAUGUGCAUCUAUCGGUCUUCUCAGAGCUAACAUGCUUCUUUUUCCAUCCAUGUUUGGUAACAUAUUCAACAAUUAAUAGUUGUGAUUAGUGAAUGACUUAGCAGCAGAGUAAUCCUAAGAUGAAUAUGACUAACUGGAAAUGUUAUGUGUCAAUUUCAGAAACAGAGGAUUUAUAGAUUCAAAUGAAUAAACAAAAGAGAGACUGGAAUACUACAUGGAGGUUCUAGUGGACAUAAAAGCAGUACGGCUUUCCAUUAACUCUUUCUCUCUGUAAUUAUUUAUCACAUUCAGGUGGAAUCAACGCUGGCAUCGUCAGUUAGGAGAGAAAGAGUUAAAUGAUUGGGAUGUUACAGCCAAAUACUAAAGCACUUUAUGAACACUAAAUAAGCACCAUAGCUUCAUUGACUUUGAGUUAACAAAAAAAUAACAAGCAGAGACUGAGACAUUUAUAAUUACUGAGAGAUACAAUUUUUUUUUAUCGUCUCUUUGGUAAAACAUGAAGUGGAACAAUUAGGACAGACAUGCUAAUGAAAUGAAGACUGUCAAUGGCUUACAAACAAAUGCUUUAUCAUUUCAUGCUUAUGAAAUGCACUAAAGCCAAAAACAAAGCAAAUAGGAAAUCAUCAAACUCACUGGAUUAAAGUUGGAGUCUUUUAAAGAAUAUGCUAGACUUUGGUUGCAAUUUUGAAUUUGUUGAAAUGAUGAAUGGCUGUUUUGUUGAGGUUGCAGAAGAUGAUUCUUGUCUGAACAUGCAGUGUCAUUUGGCUGUUGCAUUUCCAUAUUAGGACAAUGGUUUUCAGGCAUGCCUGCAGAUCUCCAGAGACAUGGGCGUUUAGGCAAGUUUGCUCUUUGUUCUAGCUGAAAAUAUAAGGUGUCUAUGGUGAGAACUUGUUAAAGACAUCAGUGUUAUGAAAGAGAGAAGCUUCCUUCUGCCCAAGUUCACUCUGGCUGCAGUAACUUGAAAGUGAUUAUUGCUUUUAACAGACAUAGGAAGAUAAUGUCAUCUUUCCAUUUUAUUUUUGCCAAUACAAAUAUCUACAUUCCUUGUUGAUAGCAAACACUGAAAACAUAGUUUAAUUGAUUCUUCAAUUCUAGAUUUAGAGUUGAAUGACUAGAAUCUAAAUUUUGGUCUGGACAGAUCAAUGGACAAUGACAAUAUUUGACACACUAUUUGACUACAAUUAUAAAGUCUGAAGAAACACUGUAGACUAGUGGUCUUCAACCUUUUUUGGCCUACCGCCCCCUUUUCGUAUUUUUUGCUUUAAAAAAAUCCACCAGAACCCUUCUUAAAAAAUACUAAUAAAGUAGCUAUUUCGAAGGCAAAUUUGAAUAAAAUGUCAUUUUUUAUUAAUUUUCAUGAUGUCAAUAACAGAUAGUUAAUUAGUUAAUUUUAUAACUGUUAUUUUAGGGUUAUAUUGUAAAUUUAGUUUUAAUUUUUAUAUUGAUAUUAUUAUUGCCAAAUUCACUAAAAAGUGAAAUCAAGCUUAUGAGAACCUCAUGUCUACUGACAAAAUGUCAAGCUUUAAAUUAGCCAAAGCAAGGCAAAUAUCUUCUCUGGUGGAUAUAUCUAUUUUUUGCUUACUCAUUAUGUUUUUUACGCACUUAAUCCAUUUUAACCAUGUAUAUUGAUGGAAAGCUAAAAAUAAUUCCAUUUACGACCACAGUUUUGGGAUUUUACACAGACAUUUAAGUGGAGCCAUAUCUCUGUUGUGCCUCCUAUGUUAACAUUUUUUAAAACUGAAGACAUAAUUUUGUAAAUCUAUUUUUUUCUUGAAACUCAAUUUGAACAUCAGUAACAGAUGCUUAAAAAAUGUCAAUUAUAUAAUAUUUUCAAAUUUAUUAAAUCCUAGAAGCAAAUUGUUAUUUCUUCUUAGAGGAUUGUUAAUUGAAUUGCAUAGACAUGACCUGUUUUUGAAAUAUUGCAAGUUUUCCUCACGAGCAACUUUGUGAAUGUUUUCAUUGUUAAAAAGGUUAAAUUAUAGAAUGUCUUGCUA
Molecule: long non-coding RNA, 2592 nt
Organism: Biomphalaria glabrata
Lineage: Eukaryota; Metazoa; Mollusca; Gastropoda; Planorbidae
Exons: 5
Source: RefSeq, a predicted model, not a curated record